Molecule: ribosomal RNA, 274 nt
Filed under: uncultured bacterium
Lineage: Bacteria
Description: partial 16S ribosomal RNA
Rfam family: Bacterial small subunit ribosomal RNA
Source: RNAcentral
AUACGAAAGGUGCGAGCGUUGUUCGGAUUUACGGGGCGUAAAGCGAGUGUAGGUGGUUUGUUAAGUCGGAUGUGAAAUCCCGGGGCUCAACCUCGGAACUGCAUUCGAUACUGGCAGGCUAGAGUUCGGGAGGGGUAAGCGGAAUUCCGUGUGUAGCAGUGAAAUGCGUAGAUAUACGGAGGAACACCUGAGGCGAAGGCGGCUUACUGGACCGAUACUGACACUGAGACUCGAAAGCGUGGGUAGCAAACAGGAUUAGAAACCCUAGUAGUCC